ACAGUGGAAGAUCCACUAACGAAUCAGAAGAAGUAACAGAUGGCGAUGGCUGAUGGGUGGCGGGUGCAGGGAGUUGAGGCGGAGGAUUCACGAAAUCAUCGAAGCUUCCCCCUUGCAGCACAAGGGGCAUCUCCUUACUUGUCGUCAUAACAGUUUUGUUUCGUUGUGCGAGAAAUUGUGGAUUAGGACAAGGUUUGGACCCAACUUUGGCGGUCCGGAAUUCUUCGAUUCAGCUGGACUGGAAGGUCGAACAGGAUUGGCACAUUGAAGUGGCAGUUGAAGCAAGAGCAGGUUGGCUCGGCCCAUUUCCGCCAGCGUUUAUUGCGGAAGCAGUUGUUACUGGGAUUCUCUCAGGUAUUGGCUCCGGAAUCUUCUCCGGUAUUGUCUCUGGGAUUUUUUCUUGGAAUGCAUCCAGAAUUUGGUUUGGAGUUCUCUCCGGGAUUGUUCCCAGAAUAUCAACUUGCUCAUGGAUUUUUUUCUCAUUUUCUUCAGUCUGAUCUUUUAAAUUCAACAACAAACAAUCGGCUUCUGUCGCCGUUUGUUGUUGUUCUGAUUGUCUUGAUGGCCCACUCUGAAUUCCGUCAUCGUUUAUUGCCGAAGCGGGUGUUUCAGGUGACGGCUUUGGUGCCGAAUUCAAGGGCCAAAACAGGUGGAUUAUCUUGGAGCAAAUGAAUCCCCAUACGAUAAAUCCGACAAGUUCAAGUAUAGUUUCGUACAUCUUUCACGUAGUUUUGCAGGCAGCUUCGAAUCCCCCUCCUAUAUAUCACCUUUGAGAGACUAAACGAGUCUGCAACUUAGGGAAAGUCCUCUAUAGUUAAGAUAUUUGAUCAAAAAAACAAAAAAAUAUCGUUAUUUUAAUUGAAUUCCACUUUAGUAUUUUACUUCCCACAUUUUUCAUAAAGAAAAUUUAUUCUUUUCAUUGAUUUUAAUUUCUUAAAUCGUUUUCUAAAGUAGACGGGGACUCGAUUGUGCAAUGUGUGCACAAUUCGAUUGUGCAACAAACGACUCCUAGUAGCAAAAUUUCGAACUGCAUGAAAAUUUUUAUUCCUCGAACGUCGUCUGCUCGAAACUGAACGUGAUUACGUGAGGCCGUUACGUGAAAAAGUGAGUUCCGCCAGUUUUUUUUUUAUAUAAUAAUAUGAUAAGGGAUGGUCGUAGUACUUUUUCUUAAUUGCUAUUCGUGUUGACAAUUGCCGAUAUAGUCUAUCUUUAAUACAGCACUGAGUGAAACUGUAUCAAUACUCUUUGCAGUGUACCUGAACGUUAGAAAAGGUAAUUCUAGCUUGGAUUCUCUACGACAAGGUUACUUAAAAUAAAUAUGUAUGCAUUUGCAGGUAUACUAGCCCAUAAUUUUCACUAGGCCCAAUUAUUUGAUCACAUGUUCUUGUAACAGCUGUACAUUACGCUAAAAUAUCUCUUGCCACCUGUACAUGCUAUAGUGGUGUACAGCUUUUUCAUCCCUUGCAGAUUACACUUAAAGUGAAGGUAAUUAUGCCACAAAUUACCUUAAAGAAGGCAAUAGAUUUUGAUGACCAGCUGAAACCAUUUGUUUACAGAUUGUACCCAAUUCACUAGUU
This is an RNA transcript of Daphnia pulicaria, 1577 nucleotides long. RefSeq lists it as uncharacterized. The transcript is spliced from 3 exons. Lineage: Eukaryota; Metazoa; Arthropoda; Branchiopoda; Diplostraca; Daphniidae. The record is from RefSeq and is a predicted model, not a curated record.